Molecule: ribosomal RNA, 388 nt
Filed under: uncultured Scuticociliatia
Lineage: Eukaryota; Ciliophora; Oligohymenophorea
Description: partial small subunit ribosomal RNA
Rfam family: Eukaryotic small subunit ribosomal RNA
Source: RNAcentral
GCUUGUCUCAAAGAUUAAGCCAUGCAUGUCUUAGUGUAAAUAACUCUUAUGAAACUGCGAAUGGCUCAUUAAAACAGUUAUAGUUUAUUUGGUAAUCGAAUUUACAUGGAUAACCGUGGUAAUUCUAGAGCUAAUACAUGCUAUCAAGCCCGACUUCUUGAAGGGUUGUAUUUAUUAGACUUAAGCCAAUAUUCCUUGUGUCUAUUGCGAUGAUUCAUAAUAACUGAUCGAAUCUCAAAUUUGAGAUAAAUCAUUCAAGUUUCUGCCCUAUCAGCUUUCGAUGGUAGUGUAUUGGACUACCAUGGCAGUAACGGGUAACGAAGAAUUAGGGUUCGAUUUCGGAGAGGGAGCAUGAGAAACGGCUACCACAUCCAAGGAAGGCAGCAGG